RNAcentral lists this unclassified non-coding RNA (254 nucleotides) under uncultured Mortierella. Its description in RNAcentral is "sequence contains ITS2". Lineage: Eukaryota; Fungi; Mortierellomycota; Mortierellomycetes; Mortierellales; Mortierellaceae. The record is from RNAcentral.
GUAAACACCUCAAAGCUUUUGGAUUUUUUAAUCGAAAAGCUUUGGACUUGAGCAAUCCCAACACCAAUCUUUUUGAGAUCGGUGGCGGGUUGCUUGAAAUGCAGGUGCAGCUGGACAUUCUCCUGAGCUAAAAGCAUAUUCAUUUAGUCCCGUCAAACGGAUUAUUACUUUUGCUGCAGCUAACAUAUAGGGAGUUUGACCGUAUUGGCUGACUGAUGCAGGAUUUCACAAGGGUCGGCAACGAUUCUUGUUAA